CUUCACUGACUUCUUAUUCUUUGGGAACAGUCUUCUAGAGUCACCAGUGACCUCCUUCUAAUCUAGACAAGUCCGGAGAAGGAAGAGGUGGAUUGAGAAGAGAUGCUGGGAAAUAUCUUCCAGGAAAAUGAAACAGCACAAGAAAAAUCAUAUUCUUCAGAAAUCAUAGGACAUAUGGUGAAGACAUUGAGGAAAAAUGUAAUGGAAACAGGUUUUAGGACGACGGUGAUAAUAGCAGAGGCAACUCCCCUAUCACCAGAUACCAACAGAAGUGGCCGAGGUCAUGCAAAAAUGUGGGAAAACAAAAAUUUGUGAAAUCCACCUCCUAAAAAUAUUAAGAAAUGAAGCUCGAAAAAAAGCAGAUUAAAUAAAGAAUAGAACAGUGACCUAAAACUUCUCCUCCUAUGACGAGCGAGUGCUCUCUGCUUGGGAAAGUAGAGAUUAGAGGAGACCAGUGGAUGGAAUCGAUGAGACUCCAAUUCAGAGGAAUUCAUAAGAAGCAAAAACUAGAAGACCAAAAGUUUUUAUCCCAGAGAAAUGGAGGAAGUACACUGGGCUUCUCCUGUUAGUAGAGGCCAAGUGUGACUGAAUUUCUUUCUUCUUUUAUAAGGACUUAUAAAUAGGGAAUAUCACUAAACCCACAAAAAUGGUGCUCUAUUCAAAAGGAUAAGACCACAUUUUCUUGGGUGGAAGAAGAAAAAUUAGAAGUAUUUUUAUUCUUAUUAUUGACAUGAUUCAAAAAGUUGUCCCAGCUAUGAAAAUUGAGCAAACAGUUGUGAAAGGCUAUAUUCUGAAAUCAUGAAAGAUUUCAUGGGAAUUUUUAAAAAGACUUAAUUACAAGAAGGUGAUGAAAAUUUGAUGGAGUACUCUUAAAACUGAAAAAUAAUGUUUGAAACUUUGAAAAUAUCUCCAAGAACCUAUGGGAUUAAAAAAUGGAAUUCUUGAGAGGAAAAAAAGAGAAAAUUGGACACAGAUUUAGAAAAAAAUCUACGCAAAGUAGAACAUAAAUCAGUAAGGAACAAAAGAAUAGAAAGAAGUAAAGAAGUAAAAGAAGAAAUUGUCCUAAAAUGAAGAAAGAUCCAAAUCUUUGAUUGAGAAGACUUGCCAAUUAUCAGAAAGAAAACAUGAUGUGAAACUUCUAAACCAUUGGAGGAAAAAGGAGAAAAGGUAACCUUAGAUAAGUGUCAUGACAGAAUAAUUGAAUAAGCAGUAACUGUAUACACUGAAUGUCAGCCAUCGUUAGUUCUAUCUUAUCUAAAUAUGGAAUAAGUUUACUUGUUUGUUAAUGCUUGUCAAUAUUUUACAUAUUUUUGUAAUAAACACAGAUUACAUAAUAAGAAUUUAUAUUUUGAG
Long non-coding RNA from Vicugna pacos (alpaca), 1353 nucleotides. RefSeq lists it as uncharacterized. NCBI's taxonomy places the organism in Eukaryota, Metazoa, Chordata, Mammalia, Artiodactyla, Camelidae. The record is from RefSeq and is a predicted model, not a curated record.